UGGGGAAUUUUGGACAAUGGGGGAAACCCUGAUCCAGCCAUCCCGCGUGUGCGAUGAAGGCCUUCGGGUUGUAAAGCACUUUUGGCAGGAAAGAAACGUCAUGGGUUAAUACCCCGUGAAACUGACGGUACCUGCAGGAUAAGCACCGGCUAACUACGUGCCAGCAGCCGCGGUAAUACGUAGGGUGCAAGCGUUAAUCGGAAUUACUGGGCGUAAAGCGUGCGCAGGCGGUUCGGAAGGAAAGAUGUGAAAUCCCAGAGCUUAACUUUGGAACUGCAUUUUUAACUACCGGGCUAGAGUGUGUCAGAGGGAGGUGGAAUUCCGCGUGUAGCAGUGAAAUGCGUAGAUAUGCGGAGGAACACCGAUGGCGAAGGCAGCCUCCUGGGAUAACACUGACGCUCAUGCACGAAAGCGUGGGGAGCAAACA
Molecule: ribosomal RNA, 427 nt
Filed under: uncultured bacterium
Lineage: Bacteria
Description: bacterial SSU rRNA
Rfam family: Bacterial small subunit ribosomal RNA
Source: RNAcentral